ACUACCAUGGGAUGGGCUUGGAAGUAUGGUUGCAGUUUAUGAGCUAUAAUAAUUAAAGUGAAAAUGAGCAUUUUAACCUUUGCAUACCUAAGCUCAUCAUUUUGAAGCACCUUACUAACAUAGUAUAUCGGGAAUUGUCGAACACCCUCUGCCCUAGCAAGAUAGCUGUUACAAUUUCCUCACAUGCGAUGAGGUAAAAUUAAAGGGUCUCUUCCUCGUAGGUUGACAUUAGCAACAGUGGAGAUGCCAAAUACUCA
Molecule: long non-coding RNA, 257 nt
Filed under: Gossypium barbadense (sea-island cotton)
Lineage: Eukaryota; Viridiplantae; Streptophyta; Magnoliopsida; Malvales; Malvaceae
Description: long non-coding RNA (GBAR_LNC006576)
Source: RNAcentral